GGGUUGUGAGGUUAAGCGACUAAGCGUACACGGUGGAUGCCCUGGCAGUCAGAGGCGAUGAAGGACGUGCUAAUCUGCGAUAAGCGUCGGUAAGGUGAUAUGAACCGUUAUAACCGGCGAUUUCCGAAUGGGGAAACCCAGUGUGUUUCGACACACUAUCAUUAACUGAAUCCAUAGGUUAAUGAGGCGAACCGGGGGAACUGAAACAUCUAAGUACCCCGAGGAAAAGAAAUCAACCGAGAUUCCCCCAGUAGCGGCGAGCGAACGGGGAGCAGCCCAGAGCCUGAAUCAGUGUGUGUGUUAGUGGAAGCGUCUGGAAAGGCGCGCGAUACAGGGUGACAGCCCCGUACACAAAAAUGCACAUGCUGUGAGCUCGAUGAGUAGGGCGGGACACGUGGUAUCCUGUCUGAAUAUGGGGGGACCAUCCUCCAAGGCUAAAUACUCCUGACUGACCGAUAGUGAACCAGUACCGUGAGGGAAAGGCGAAAAGAACCCCGGCGAGGGGAGUGAAAAAGAACCUGAAACCGUGUACGUACAAGCAGUGGGAGCACGCUUAGGCGUGUGACUGCGUACCUUUUGUAUAAUGGGUCAGCGACUUAUAUUCUGUAGCAAGGUUAACCGAAUAGGGGAGCCGAAGGGAAACCGAGUCUUAACUGGGCGUUAAGUUGCAGGGUAUAGACCCGAAACCCGGUGAUCUAGCCAUGGGCAGGUUGAAGGUUGGGUAACACUAACUGGAGGACCGAACCGACUAAUGUUGAAAAAUUAGCGGAUGACUUGUGGCUGGGGGUGAAAGGCCAAUCAAACCGGGAGAUAGCUGGUUCUCCCCGAAAGCUAUUUAGGUAGCGCCUCGUGAAUUCAUCUCCGGGGGUAGAGCACUGUUUCGGCAAGGGGGUCAUCCCGACUUACCAACCCGAUGCAAACUGCGAAUACCGGAGAAUGUUAUCACGGGAGACACACGGCGGGUGCUAACGUCCGUCGUGAAGAGGGAAACAACCCAGACCGCCAGCUAAGGUCCCAAAGUCAUGGUUAAGUGGGAAACGAUGUGGGAAGGCCCAGACAGCCAGGAUGUUGGCUUAGAAGCAGCCAUCAUUUAAAGAAAGCGUAAUAGCUCACUGGUCGAGUCGGCCUGCGCGGAAGAUGUAACGGGGCUAAACCAUGCACCGAAGCUGCGGCAGCGACGCUGAUGCGUUGUUGGGUAGGGGAGCGUUCUGUAAGCCUGCGAAGGUGUGCUGUGAGGCAUGCUGGAGGUAUCAGAAGUGCGAAUGCUGACAUAAGUAACGAUAAAGCGGGUGAAAAGCCCGCUCGCCGGAAGACCAAGGGUUCCUGUCCAACGUUAAUCGGGGCAGGGUGAGUCGACCCCUAAGGCGAGGCCGAAAGGCGUAGUCGAUGGGAAACAGGUUAAUAUUCCUGUACUUGGUGUUACUGCGAAGGGGGGACGGAGAAGGCUAUGUUGGCCGGGCGACGGUUGUCCCGGUUUAAGCGUGUAGGCUGGUUUUCCAGGCAAAUCCGGAAAAUCAAGGCUGAGGCGUGAUGACGAGGCACUACGGUGCUGAAGCAACAAAUGCCCUGCUUCCAGGAAAAGCCUCUAAGCAUCAGGUAACAUCAAAUCGUACCCCAAACCGACACAGGUGGUCAGGUAGAGAAUACCAAGGCGCUUGAGAGAACUCGGGUGAAGGAACUAGGCAAAAUGGUGCCGUAACUUCGGGAGAAGGCACGCUGAUAUGUAGGUGAGGUCCCUCGCGGAUGGAGCUGAAAUCAGUCGAAGAUACCAGCUGGCUGCAACUGUUUAUUAAAAACACAGCACUGUGCAAACACGAAAGUGGACGUAUACGGUGUGACGCCUGCCCGGUGCCGGAAGGUUAAUUGAUGGGGUUAGCGCAAGCGAAGCUCUUGAUCGAAGCCCCGGUAAACGGCGGCCGUAACUAUAACGGUCCUAAGGUAGCGAAAUUCCUUGUCGGGUAAGUUCCGACCUGCACGAAUGGCGUAAUGAUGGCCAGGCUGUCUCCACCCGAGACUCAGUGAAAUUGAACUCGCUGUGAAGAUGCAGUGUACCCGCGGCAAGACGGAAAGACCCCGUGAACCUUUACUAUAGCUUGACACUGAACAUUGAGCCUUGAUGUGUAGGAUAGGUGGGAGGCUU
Molecule: ribosomal RNA, 2140 nt
Filed under: Escherichia coli
Lineage: Bacteria; Pseudomonadati; Pseudomonadota; Gammaproteobacteria; Enterobacterales; Enterobacteriaceae
Description: partial 23S ribosomal RNA
Rfam family: Bacterial large subunit ribosomal RNA
Source: RNAcentral